This 72-nucleotide transfer RNA is filed under the name Loxodonta africana (African savanna elephant). RNAcentral's name for it is "tRNA-Gln (TTG) (tRNA-Gln-TTG-7-1)". It matches the Rfam family "tRNA". Rfam says of the family: Transfer RNA (tRNA) molecules are approximately 80 nucleotides in length. Their secondary structure includes four short double-helical elements and three loops (D, anti-codon, and T loops). Further hydrogen bonds mediate the characteristic L-shaped molecular structure. tRNAs have two regions of fundamental functional importance: the anti-codon, which is responsible for specific mRNA codon recognition, and the 3' end, to which the tRNAs corresponding amino acid is attached (by aminoacyl-tRNA synthetases). tRNAs cope with the degeneracy of the genetic code in two manners: having more than one tRNA (with a specific anti-codon) for a particular amino acid; and 'wobble' base-pairing, i.e. permitting non-standard base-pairing at the 3rd anti-codon position. The record is from Rfam by way of RNAcentral. Lineage: Eukaryota; Metazoa; Chordata; Mammalia; Proboscidea; Elephantidae.
GGCCCCAUGGUGUAAUGGUAAGCACUCUGGACUUUGAAUCCAGCGAUCCGAGUUCAAGUCUUGGUGGGACCU